RNAcentral lists this ribosomal RNA (348 nucleotides) under Scymnus perdere. RNAcentral describes it as "partial 16S ribosomal RNA". Lineage: Eukaryota; Metazoa; Arthropoda; Insecta; Coleoptera; Coccinellidae. The record is from RNAcentral.
AGGAGGGCCCGCCCCCUGAAUUUUUAAAGGGCUGCAGUAUUUUGACUGUACAAAGGUAGCAUAAUCAUUAGUUUUUUAAUUGAAAGCUUGUAUGAAUGGUUUAAUGAAAAAAAUACUGUUUCAGUAUUAAUUUAUAGAAUUUUAUUUUUAAGUUAAAAAGCUUAAAUUUUAAUGAAAGACGAGAAGACCCUAUAGAAUUUUAUUUUUUUAUAUUUUUAUUAUUUUAGAAUUUAAAAAUUUUGAAUUUGUAAAUUAAUUAAGUUGGGGUGAUUAAAAAAUUUAAUAAACUUUUUUUUUAUUUUUACAUUUAUAUAUGAAAUAAUGAUCCAUAAAAAUGAUUAAAAAAAU